UCUCUCUCUCCCUUGAAGGC
RNAcentral lists this microRNA (20 nucleotides) under Oryza sativa (Asian cultivated rice). Its description in RNAcentral is "osa-miR3979-5p". Lineage: Eukaryota; Viridiplantae; Streptophyta; Magnoliopsida; Poales; Poaceae. RNAcentral also lists the same sequence under 1 other name. The record is from miRBase by way of RNAcentral.